CAGUUCUUCCACCAAUACUUUCUUUUCAGCUUGGCUGCACUGGUCUCAAACUGGGAAGCUCCCGCUUGCAGCGCAUCAGCACGGUCAUCCAACUCUGACAGCUUCUGAUCUCUUUCCAGCACCUUGUCCACAUUCACUCUCAUGAUGUCAACAACCUAUAUCAGUAAGUUAUCAGUUUUAUUAAUCAUUAUAAAAUUUAUUUGCAGGAAACAGAUGUUCUCAUCUAAGAAAAAAGAAACUCGCCUUUUAGGGUAUCUAAACAUAAGCCUGAAAUUUGCCUGCAGCUGGAAUCCCUACUUCUCAGUGUCAGUAUUGCCAGUUGUGAUGAUAUUCCCUCUAACCUGGGAUGUAAAUCCUGACUAGCACCAGAAUGACUUGAGGCAUUCAAGCACAAUAGUCAACCAUAUGUCACAAAACAUUAGCAGCCAGACUGGCUCUUGGCCUCCCCAGGAAUCAGGACUUGUUGUAUUUAGAGGUAAACCUUCUUUGCUAAUGAAGAGAAGCAAGCUUUUUAUCUGUAAAUCAAAGCUUGUUGUGUUCCCAGCUAGCAUUUGGGCACUAGAAGCUUUUCUCCAUUUAGUGCAGCUGGAAUGGAUUAUUAUUUUUCCAAACCUUUCCAAGACUUAAGGUGACAUACAACAAAGAAAGAUGAAUUAUAAAAGGUUUCACCUUCAUAUCACAGAAUACCUACUUUGGCCUGUAUAUCUAUUCAACAUACCAGAUUUUAUUAAGGAAAAGGAUUACACUUAUCUAGCUAGAUUUUUACCUCAUCUACUUGAUGCUGAGUUUGCUGAAGUCGACGGUUACUGCCAGCAGGCACAUUUGUGUUUCCAGGGACACUGGCUGACCUGCAGUAAAGAAAGCCAUUGAUAUUCUGCUUAGUUGCUCUUAGAGAUUUUGCUUUCACGUUGACAUGCUUACAACGCAUAAGUGAUCUGACCUUCCUGAAAGCAGGAAACUUUGAUUCCUGAAAUAAUCUUAGAGAAGUUUCAUUUCCUUUUGGAAAAGUGAUGUUUCAGCAGCUGUCUAUAGGUCUAAGUCAAAGUGCAUCCUAAAUCUUUUGCCAAUGGAUUGACUGAUGUACUAAAAGAGAGUAGUGAUUAGCUAACACAACAGCCUAUAUUAAAGCAUAUGGCAACUCCUGUAGUGCUCAGAAGGGGGUCAGGUUCUCAAGCACAGGCUCAGCAGCAUUCAGUUUUUCAGUAACAAACUAUAAGCUUCAAAACCAAUUACCAAAGUACAGGAACUUCCACGGUUGUUCUGUGUUCUUGCACAGAGCGGUCAUCUGUCUCUAUUCUUUUGAAACAGUCGAUAUUGAGCAAGAGAAAGCACAAGGAAAAGGCACUUGGCAUACAGAACAGUUAACCUCUACACAGCCACAUUCUUGUUACCCAGUACAACACUGUGAUGGAUGCAGGAGUUCCUGUAUGCAUUUCCCAAACCCUGUUCACAGCUUUAAUGACUUUCUGUUGUGCAGCUCCGGAAGUCCAUUUGCUUUUCUGUGUUUUUCUCUGUCUCUGCAUCAAAAGCAUGUAUUGUUCAGUGCAAACUGAUAUCCAGAGAGUCGAACCUGAGUGUUGUUUAUUUUUACAUCUUUGGGCACUAAAUUCAAAUCUACAUUUAAAGGAGGUGGACACACACAGGGACCCACGCCCAAGUACCCUACAAUAACAGGACAAGGCUCAAGAGCAGUCCACGUUUGACGUAGUUGCCACUCCGAUGUUUUGAUGCUCAGGUCACGCUUCCGUGCUGUUUCACUGCUAUAAAGAUUUAGAGGCUGCUUUCUGAGGAUCCAAACGGAACAAACACAAGAAAAAGCCGCCUCUCAUUGCUCUGCCUACAUCGGCAGCGCCUUCAGGAAAGGAUCCGUAAGUUGGCAAGGCCGCCUGCAUUGUCACGUAUUACUGCUGUCAAAUGCGUUUCACAAAGGAGCAAUUCCAUGAUCAGAAGACAGAAGGUUUGGCUCCUGGCACUUGGGAAUCUGAACUUUCCCGGGAAGCUGCACUGAGUUUAUCUUCUGUGAAAACAGGAGUUCCACAAUGGAGAGAAGGUUGGUGGCCGGGAUCGAGCCAGAACGAUUCCUCCCAUAGGAACAAUCCCAAAGUGACAUCAGUCCGCUCAGAGACCUGCCGCUGCUGCUAGCAAAACAGACAAGAGGAGCAGCUUCUGACCUCAGACAGACGAACGGAACUGUCUCAGAACGGAACGGAACUGACUCAGACAGACGGCGGCUUCGGAGCUGCUUCCCUUACAUUCCUGGGUAGCCGAGAUCAGAACCUGCUUCCCAUUGUUGAGAAUUUGUGACAGUUUUAAAUUAGUACUUCAAUUAAAAAAAAAAAAAACAACAACACUAAUUUCUUUGGCUCCUCACUAUGUGGAAAUAGCAAUAUACCAUGACACCCCUACGAGAUCAGUUUGCAUCUUUUUUUUUUUUGUUUUACUUAGUUUUUUUUUUUAAUUUUUUGUGCAAUUUUUAUUACAUUUU
Molecule: long non-coding RNA, 2485 nt
Organism: Lagopus leucura (white-tailed ptarmigan)
Lineage: Eukaryota; Metazoa; Chordata; Aves; Galliformes; Phasianidae
Exons: 3
Source: RefSeq, a predicted model, not a curated record